AACGUAGGAGGCGAGCGUUAUCCGGAUUUACUGGGCGUAAAGCGCGUGCAGGCGGAUUGGAGAGUUGGAUGUGAAAGCUCCCGGCUUAACUGGGAGAGGUCGUUCAAUACUUCCAGUCUUGAGUGCAGUAGAGGGAAGUGGAAUUCCGGGUGUAGUGGUGAAAUGCGUAGAUAUCCGGAGGAACACCAGUGGCGAAAGCGGCUUCCUGGACUGUAACUGACGCUCAGACGCGAAAGCUAGGGUAGCAAACGGG
Molecule: ribosomal RNA, 253 nt
Filed under: uncultured bacterium
Lineage: Bacteria
Also listed under: 1 other name
Description: partial 16S ribosomal RNA
Rfam family: Bacterial small subunit ribosomal RNA
Source: RNAcentral